RNAcentral lists this ribosomal RNA (496 nucleotides) under uncultured bacterium. RNAcentral's name for it is "partial 16S ribosomal RNA". It matches the Rfam family "Bacterial small subunit ribosomal RNA", at positions 355 to 842 of the family's 1533-position model. The record is from RNAcentral.
UGGGGAAUCUUCCGCAAUGGACGAAAGUCUGACGGAGCAACGCCGCGUGUAUGAUGAAGGUCUUCGGAUUGUAAAGUACUGUCAUUGGGGAAGAACGGUUUUCUUGAAAAGAUUGAGAAGACAUGACGGUACCCAAGGAGGAAGCCCCGGCUAACUACGUGCCAGCAGCCGCGGUAAUACGUAGGGGGCAAGCGUUGUCCGGAAUUAUUGGGCGUAAAGGGCGCGUAGGCGGGCUUUUAAGUCCGGUGUGAAAGAUCAGGGCUCAACCCUGAGAGUGCAUCGGAAACUGGAGGCCUUGAGGACAGGAGAGGAAAGUGGAAUUCCACGUGUAGCGGUGAAAUGCGUAGAUAUGUGGAGGAACACCAGUGGCGAAGGCGACUUUCUGGACUGUAACUGACGCUGAGGCGCGAAAGCGUGGGGAGCAAACAGGUUAGGUACCCUGGUAGUCACGCCGUAAACGAUGAGUGCUAGGUGUAGAGGGUAUCGACCCCCUUCU